Molecule: long non-coding RNA, 1321 nt
Filed under: Lynx pardinus (Iberian lynx)
Lineage: Eukaryota; Metazoa; Chordata; Mammalia; Carnivora; Felidae
Source: RNAcentral
UCCUUUAUAGCCAAAAGCUCCGUGUCUGUAUAUUAAAGAUUUUGCAACCCUUUCCCUCGCACAUAAACGUAUCCAGAAGCUAAUAAGCCAAAGACAUGGUUAUUAAUAUCGAGAGUCAAGGAUGACUCAUGAGGCUCCUCCAACAAUCAAGGAUGAAAAUCUAAGGGGUUGGAGGACAAGUACUUAAUUCAGCUCGACACUCAUGAGCGGAACAGCCGUCCCCUGCCUGUCUUGCAGCGUGCAUAGUAGAUUAGAUUAGGGUCCUAUCCUUUCACACUUCAUAGUUCUCAAACAAACCUUUUCCGUCCCGUAAUGCGAUUUUCAUUCAGCCACCUUCUUUGUUAAAUUUAAAGCCUGCGAGUUUGGGGACUGUCUGUAUCGUUCACCAGUGGCCCAAGCGUCCCUUCCAAAUGAAGGCCAUCACAGUUGUCCCAUGUUGCCAGUCGUGCGUUAGCAUCAGCAGGGCGCAUUCUGCACAUUUAUGACUUCAGAGGAACAAGAUGGGUAACCUCUGUUCUCUCUGCUCUUACCUGUUGGAAUGUGUGCUUACGUAACUGGCGAAUGAAUGAAUAGACUAUGGGGAAAACCCACUUGUUACCCUGUAAGGAUUUCUGUUCUAGAGGAAGUGGUGCAGGUGGGGAAAGAAAACAAUAUAAAAUGGUGGUUAAGUAAGCACCGAGCUGGGAUAAAAAUGAGAGCUCCUCCAAGUUGAGGCUCUACUCUUCCUAAUUAUGAUUACCCAAGCUAGUGUGUGUGCGUGUGCGUGUGCGUGUGCACAGUGAUUUCAGCAGUUACCGCAUUUCCUGUCUAUCUGGAUGAAUCAUGUAUUUCUUUUCUCUUUUCUCUGCUCCAGGUUUGCCAAAAUUUGCCAACCAUGUAGGACGGUCUCUGACGAAUGACUUCAAUCUGAAUAUCCAGAAAUUGUCUGAUUUGCAGUCUGCUUGGAAUCAACUGCUUUAUUGGAAGGGAGUGAGCAACUACAUUAUUGAGAAAAAACCAUUUUAAUUCGGUUAUGUGUCUUUUUUUUUUUAAUCUCAUUUUUGCUUUCCUAAAUUGUAAUCUGCUCAGGAAGAUAAUAUCAAUUCGUCUUUACUUUGCCAAUGCUAGCAGUUGAAAGGGAACUGGCUGGGAAAUGUGAUAGAGAACCAACCACGUGGGUAGAUGGUCCCCUCUUAUUCCCUGAGGCAUUGUUUUCAUACAUGAAUUUUCAUCUAGAGAAUUCCAUGAGGCGCUUUUAACAAUGCAAAUUCCUGGGCCUGCCUACAAACCCCUAUCCCUUGCUGAACUGUUUAAUUAAUACCAACUUGAAAGUAAAUAUGGG